UCCUACGGGAGGCAGCAGUGGGGAAUCUUAGACAAUGGGGGCAACCCUGAUCUAGCCAUGCCGCGUGAGUGAUGAAGGCCUUAGGGUCGUAAAGCUCUUUCGCCUGUGAUGAUAAUGACAGUAGCAGGUAAAGAAACCCCGGCUAACUCCGUGCCAGCAGCCGCGGUAAUACGGAGGGGGUUAGCGUUGUUCGGAAUUACUGGGCGUAAAGCGCGCGUAGGCGGAUUAGAAAGUUGGGGGUGAAAUCCCGGGGCUCAACCCCGGAACUGCCUCCAAAACUGCUAGUCUAGAGUUCGAGAGAGGUGAGUGGAAUUCCGAGUGUAGAGGUGAAAUUCGUAGAUACUCGGAGGAACACCUGUGGCGAAGGCGGCUCACUGACUCAAAAUCUGACUCUGAAG
This 398-nucleotide ribosomal RNA is filed under the name uncultured bacterium. Its description in RNAcentral is "bacterial SSU rRNA". It matches the Rfam family "Bacterial small subunit ribosomal RNA", at positions 337 to 751 of the family's 1533-position model. The record is from RNAcentral.